CCUACGUGUGGCAUCAGUGAGGAAUAUUGGUCAAUGGCCGGAAGGCUGAACCAGCCAUGCCGCGUGAAGGUCAGUGCCCUAUGGGCGUUAAACUUCUUUUGUUCGGGAGCAAUAAUGGUCACGUGUGGCCAGACGAGAGUACCGUACGAAUAAGCAUCGGCUAACUCCGUGCCAGCAGCCGCGGUAGUACGGGGGAGGCAAGCGUUAUCCGGAUUUAUUGGGUUUAAAGGGUGCGUGGGCUGGGAGGUAGGUCAGCGGUGAAAUGCCCCCGCGGAAGGGGGGGAGGUGCGAUUGGUACUGCCGUGCUGGAAUGCGGAUGCGGUGGGAGGAAUGUGUGGUGUAGCGGUGAAAUG
RNAcentral lists this ribosomal RNA (353 nucleotides) under uncultured bacterium. Its description in RNAcentral is "partial 16S ribosomal RNA". It matches the Rfam family "Bacterial small subunit ribosomal RNA", at positions 338 to 688 of the family's 1533-position model. The record is from RNAcentral.